RNAcentral lists this unclassified non-coding RNA (248 nucleotides) under Hevea brasiliensis (rubber tree). Lineage: Eukaryota; Viridiplantae; Streptophyta; Magnoliopsida; Malpighiales; Euphorbiaceae. The record is from RNAcentral.
AAUUCCAUGAUAAAUCCCAUCCUUACUCAAAAAACCCUAGUAUUUCAAAUCAAAUAAACAAAUAAUCAAACCCUAAAAAUUUUUCAAUAAGAAACUAGAAAUCGAAACCUCAAAUCGAUCUAGUGAAUCCAUAUAAUAUGUGGAAAUCGCUUGGACAUAACUGAGAGUACCUGUUGAGAGCUUACAACUCGCGAAGCAGAGAAGCACCAAAGGUUGCUAGCACUCGACUGAUUCCAUACCAACGCCCG